AGCAGCCGCGGUAAUUCCAGCUCCAAUAGCGUAUAUUAAAGUUGUUGCAGUUAAAAAGCUCGUAGUUGAAUUUCGGGAUCGGCAUGUUGGUCGUGCCUUACGGGGUAUGAACUGGCAUCGUCGGUUUCUCACCUUCUGGAGAAUCGUGAUGCUCUUAAUUGGGUGUUACGUGGAUCCAGGACCUUUACCUUGAAAAAAUUGAGUGUUUAAAGCAGGCAUUUUGCUCGAAUACAUUAGCAUGGAAUAAUAAAAUAGGACGGUUUGGUUCUAUUUUGUUGGUUUCUAGGAUCACCGUAAUGAUUAAUAGGGAUAGUUGGGGGCAUUAGUAUUCAAUUGUCAGAGGUGAAAUUCUUGGGAUUUUAUUGAAGACUAACUACUGCGAAAGCAUUUGCCAAGGAUGUUUUCAUUAAUCAAGAACGAAAGUUAGGGGAUCGAAGACGAUCAGAUACCGUCGUAGUCUUAACAUAAACUAUGCCGACUAGGAAUCAGACGAUGUUUAAUUUUUAAUGACUCGUUUAGG
RNAcentral lists this ribosomal RNA (520 nucleotides) under uncultured fungus. RNAcentral's name for it is "SSU rRNA". It matches the Rfam family "Eukaryotic small subunit ribosomal RNA", at positions 569 to 1084 of the family's 1831-position model. The record is from RNAcentral. Lineage: Eukaryota; Fungi.